This is a small nuclear RNA of Nycticebus coucang (slow loris), 189 nucleotides long. RefSeq annotates it as U2 spliceosomal RNA. Lineage: Eukaryota; Metazoa; Chordata; Mammalia; Primates; Lorisidae. The transcript has a single exon. The record is from RefSeq and is a predicted model, not a curated record.
AUUGCUUCUCAGCCUUUUGGCUAACAUCAAGUGUAGUAUCUGUUCUUACCAGUUUAAUAUUUGAUAUAUUCUCUUUCCAAGGACACUGUAAUAAAUGGAUUUUUGGAGCAGGGAGUUAGAAGAGGAGCUUGCUCCUCACUCCACGCAUUGGCCUGGUAUUGCAGUACCUCUAGGAAUGGUGCAUUCCCU